This 224-nucleotide long non-coding RNA is filed under the name Elaeis guineensis (African oil palm). Its description in RNAcentral is "long non-coding RNA (EGUI_LNC030263)". The record is from RNAcentral. Lineage: Eukaryota; Viridiplantae; Streptophyta; Magnoliopsida; Arecales; Arecaceae.
GGGCUCUACCUUAACUCCAACAGCAUUCUCAGGCCUCAAUUUCCAACAAGCAUAGUGAUAGGAAGCUAUGGAAUUGAAGGAAGAAAAGAGGAAGAAUGAGAGAGAAUGAGAGAUGUUACUCAAUGAUGGAGUAUUGUAGAGGGGAAAGGAGGUGCUCUUAUAAAAGAGCUCUCUCCUUACGGGUGGCCAUUAUUUUCCAACUCGCAUCCAAAGUCUUCAGAGAG